RNAcentral lists this ribosomal RNA (492 nucleotides) under uncultured bacterium. RNAcentral describes it as "partial 16S ribosomal RNA". It matches the Rfam family "Bacterial small subunit ribosomal RNA", at positions 33 to 507 of the family's 1533-position model. The record is from RNAcentral.
CGUUCACUCUGGCGGUAGGCCUAACACAUGCAAGUCGAACGGCAGCACAGUAAGAGCUUGCUCUUACGGGUGGCGAGUGGCGGACGGGUGAGGAAUACAUCGGAAUCUACUUUUUCGUGGGGGAUAACGUAGGGAAACUUACGCUAAUACCGCAUACGACCUACGGGUGAAAGCAGGGGAUCUUCGGACCUUGCGCGAUUGAAUGAGCCGAUGUCGGAUUAGCUAGUUGGCGGGGUAAAGGCCCACCAAGGCGACGAUCCGUAGCUGGUCUGAGAGGAUGAUCAGCCACACUGGAACUGAGACACGGUCCAGACUCCUACGGGAGGCAGCAGUGGGGAAUAUUGGACAAUGGGCGCAAGCCUGAUCCAGCCAUACCGCGUGGGUGAAGAAGGCCUUCGGGUUGUAAAGCCCUUUUGUUGGGAAAGAAAAGCAGCAGGUUAAUACCCCGCUGUUCUGACGGUACCCAAAGAAUAAGCACCGGCUAACUUCGUG